GUUUUAGUGAGAAACAACAUUUUAGCAAACAUAGAUAUUAUGAGAGAAAAUUUGGAAAGGGUUAACAUAAAAGGGUUUAGGUCUUAACACCGAUAGGUGUAAAAACAAUACAUUCGAAAAGAAGAUUCUCGUAGACGAAAGCUUAAUAUAAACCUAAACAUAACGUGACGCGAUCACGGUCAAGAAAAGUAAUGAGAGGUAUAACCACAGCCCGAGCAAUGGGUAUAAAGUAACUGGACUAAUAAGUCCAGUAAGUGAGACUGAUUAAGGUCAAAAUUCAAAUGUAAGAAUUGGAGUAAUACGCUAGUCAUUGCGAGAUUGGCAUGGAAUAAACAUACCUGAUAAAUUCAUAUGACCAAACGGACAAAGAGCGACACGGUCAAGUAUAUAAAGCAAAGGUAAACAUGUACAAACGGAAAUGAUGUUCCAUGGGACUUUGUUAACGAAGAGUAUUGAUCGCUUAUACUAAGCGAUCAUAAGGCAACACGAACGAAGUGUCGGAAAGCCAAAUCGAGCAAAAGCACGAUUGAAAGAUAAAGUUAUAAGGUAUGUGAUUAUAUGCUUAUGAGAAUUAUGAUAAUAACAUUUAUUAAACUAUCUUAAACAAUUAAGAUGAAAUUCAAGAAAUUCGGUUGCUCAUACGCGAUGAAUUCCGUAUAACUGAACCAAAUGAAUAAAUUCGAAAACGAAAGAAUUGUUGUUAAAAGUGAAAGAUUUCGCUAAAAUAUCCAAACAGAUUCACGAAGAAAUUUGGUAGUCUAACAGCGAUGGAUUUCGCUAAGUUAACCAAACUGGUUGAAAAUAACGAAAUUUCGUUAUUUUGAGUUUCAUUAUUCCGCAUAAAAUACGCAAAUGCUAUUAAUCAAAAAGGUAUUACCAUACUUUUCUGGUAACACCAACAAAAGGUUAAAACUGUGUAAGAAAGGUUUCGGGGGCGAAACCUUUUUAAGGGGGGUAGACUUGUAACACCUCGAAAACAGGUUUGGUAAUCAAACGACGUUAAUAUUUAUGAACGGGUGAAAUACCGUUAGUGGUGAAAUUAACCCGGUAAAUAUUAGGAUUUAAAUCAAUAAACCUGAUAUUAAAUUAAAAAGGGAAUAAAAGCUUUAGAGUAAAUAAAGUUUAUAAGAGGCCCGAGUUAAUGGAACUUAAAAUAAAACGGGAUUUAACUCCCCGAACCCAUUAAGUUAACUAGGAAUAAUUAACCUAGUUAGUAAUGAAUAAU
Molecule: long non-coding RNA, 1225 nt
Filed under: Helianthus annuus (common sunflower)
Lineage: Eukaryota; Viridiplantae; Streptophyta; Magnoliopsida; Asterales; Asteraceae
Description: hypothetical non coding rna
Source: RNAcentral